This 497-nucleotide ribosomal RNA is filed under the name uncultured bacterium. RNAcentral's name for it is "partial 16S ribosomal RNA". It matches the Rfam family "Bacterial small subunit ribosomal RNA", at positions 28 to 507 of the family's 1533-position model. The record is from RNAcentral.
GAUGAACGCUGGCGGCGUGCCUAAUACAUGCAAGUCGAGCGAACGGACGAGAAGCUUGCUUCUCUGAUGUUAGCGGCGGACGGGUGAGUAACACGUGGAUAACCUACCUAUAAGACUGGGAUAACUUCGGGAAACCGGAGCUAAUACCGGAUAAUAUUUUGAACCGCAGGGUUCAAAAGUGAAAGCCGGCCUUGCGGUCACUUAUAGAUGGUUCCGCGCUGCAUUAGCUAGUUGGUAAGGUAACGGCUUACCAAGGCAACGAUGCAUAGCCGACCUGAGAGGGUGAUCGGCCACACUGGAACUGAGACACGGUCCAGACUCCUACGGGAGGCAGCAGUAGGGAAUCUUCCGCAAUGGGCGAAAGCCUGACGGAGCAACGCCGCGUGAGUGAUGAAGGUCUUCGGAUCGUAAAACUCUGUUAUUAGGGAAGAACAUAUGUGUAAGUAACUGUGCACAUCUUGACGGUACCUAAUCAGAAAGCCACGGCUAACUACGUG